RNAcentral lists this long non-coding RNA (3748 nucleotides) under Homo sapiens (human). RNAcentral describes it as "HSALNT0339588". The record is from RNAcentral. Lineage: Eukaryota; Metazoa; Chordata; Mammalia; Primates; Hominidae.
ACGAGCAGCAGAGCCGCCCAGCAGCAACCACAUUAGGAAGGAAUCGGAAACCAACGCUCCGCUGGCUGUCACCCCUUACCCACUUGCUGUCAGACAAAAUAUUACUCUGUCACCCAGACUGGAGUCCAGUGGUGUGAUCUCAGCUCACUGCAACCUCCGCCCCCUCAAGUCCAAGCCACUCUCAUGCCUCAGUCUCCUGAGUAGCUGGGAUUACAGGCACCCACCACCACGUCUGGCUAAUUUUUGUAUUUUUAGUAGAGACAGGGUUUUGCCAUCUUGGCCAGCCUGGUCUCGAACUCCUGGCCUCAAGUGAUCUGUCCACCUCAGCCUCCCAAAGUGCUGGGAUUACAGAUGUGAGCCACCACACCUGGCCUAAAAUGUCAUAUAUUUUGAACUGACUGACUUCUCCAAAAACUUAUGGUUAUUAGUUGAGAGAGAAAACUUGAGAGAAAGUUUCCCUGCACUUGGAUGAGAGGAGAGCGGAACAGCCUGCAUCUCUGGUGCUGGGGAGUAUCAAAUAAGGGGAAUUGGGAGAAGGAUGGAGGCAACAGCGUAGCUCUUUGCCUUUCAAAAUUAAAAUGGGAUGCUGCUUUAUAUUACAAAUCUAAGGAAUUAGAAGAGCAGCAAACUAAGCAACUAAGUUUGUUCUCCUUGCAUAAACUUUAAAAAGCCAGCUUAAAAGUUCUCAAGCUUAAAAUUCGAAAAAUGAAAACAAAUGCAUGGCAUGACAGAGGGGAUAAUUCCUGCACUUUUGGAAAUGUUCUCAUGUUUUCUUCAUUUCAUCCUAUGAAUGAAAAUGCCGUCAAAGGGGAAUAAGGCUAUUCGCAGAGUGCUCAUCACCACGGUAACCACUGAGCAUCUGUACCCUUUAGUAUCUUCAUUUUGAUUAUAAUAAAUGAGUUACGAAUCUAUAUCUGGGGCCCUAGUUAUAUAUUUGCCAUAUGUUCACACCACAUGCACACACACACACACACACACACACACACACACACACUCACAUAUAUGGUGACUAAGACUAAGAGUCAGCCUAAAAGAAGAAUGAUUUGGAGCGGGAGCUCUUGGAGGGAAUGGUAGGAAAAUAACAGGGAUCCACUCAGUCUCAUUUUCUACUAAAUUUCAAUAAUGAGAAGUGUGCUCAGCAAAUGUUUGUUGACUAUAUGAAUAAAUGAAAUGGUGCAUUUAACCAGAAUUGCAUAUUUAAAUAUGGUGGUAGUGUGUACAAUAUUAGAGGAAGGAAAUGCAGGCAACAAGGAGAAGGCUUCUGCGAUGAUCCAUGACACUCUGAUAUUGCCAUUCUGUGCAAAGUUGCUCACAUUUUGACAUUCAUGAUCAUUUUUAAUUCCCCAAAACAAGCAACUGAACUUUCAACUUCCUUUUAUUACCAUAAAAUAGAUGCAAUAGAUACCCUCACCCCAUUCCUCACCCACCCCCCAAUUAGCUUUACCUGGUGCCUAAUCCACAGCCCAUCCCAGACUCACCCUAUCCCUCCUUAGACUUCUCUGUAUCUUUUACCCGAUCCUUCCAGGUGUCCAAACAGUGUCAUCCGGUGUCCUGACAUGCGGCCCCAAUGGACUGAUCCAGGGUGGAAAGGAAGAGUGAGAAGAAAUCAGACAGAAGAAUUCAGGAGAUGUGGCAACAGAGUGGAUGUAGCAGAAGGGACAUAGAGAGUGCCUAAAGAUGAGUCUUUGGUCAGCAUGUGAUGAAAAGAAUGAAGACACUGGGGAAGUGGGGAGCAGAAGCGGAUGUGGGCCCAGGAGGAAGAAGGUAGGUUUGGACUGGGGCAUGCUGAGGUCAGUAGCAACAUCAAAGUCCUGAGCACCCUCAUAUUGUUGCAGAUUCCAGAGAGCAGAGAUGGCAAAAAGAUGCAUGGAAGAGAGACACAGCAGGGUCGGGUUCUGGCCUCAGGAGCCAAGGGGGAAGUGCCUGAGGAGACCCCCAAAUGAGGCCUGUGUCAAUGAGGUCUUUAGGGGACUGGUUUCCAUGUAUGCCAGGCCAUACUCCCUGGAUUCCCAGCAUUGAGAAGACCAAACACUUCUACACAUUUAUUACUGAAGCCCCCUGCAAGCUGAAGGCGGAGGAAGUGGCCAAUCUCCUAAGCCGUGUGUGGCUGAGGCAGUUGUCAGAGCUGUGAUGAGGGAAAUGCUCAUUAUUCUUCUAUCCCUCACUUGGCCAAAUAAAGAACUUCUUAGAAUUCUUCCCCUGUGACAAAACGGGGCUGUGAUUUGGAAAGCCUCAGGCAAGUUUGCUAGGGCCGCGGUAACCAAGCACCACAGACUGGGUGGCUUCAAAACUGGACGGCUUCAACAGAAAGUUAUUGUUGCUCAGUUCUGGAAGCCAGAAGUCCAAAAUCAAGGUACUUGCAGGGUCAGUUCGAUCUGAGGGCUGCGAGGGAAGGAUCUGUUGUAGACCUCUCUCCUAGGUUUGCAGGCAUUGGUCCUGAUGUUCACAGGGCAUCCUUCCUGUGCCUUCACAUCAUCUUCUCUCUGAAUGUAUCUCUGGGUCCAAAUUUCCCUAUUUUAAAAUAAGGAAAUCAGUCCUAUUGGGUUAGCACCCCGCCCCUCACUUUAACUUGAUUACCUCUGUAAAGACCCUACCUCCAAAUAAGAUCACAUUCUGCGUACUGAGGGCUAGGACCUCAACAUCUGAAUUCAGGGUGGGUGGAUGCACAAUUCAUUCCAUAACAUUAAGAAGGAAGGGAUAAGUGCCCAAGGAAUCACAUGCUCGCUUGGGGAGAGUUCCAAGCGUGCAGAGCUGGUGGUCAUAGCCUAGCCUCAGGCCUUCGGAAAUCCCCUGAAUCUGGUUUUCCCAGUUCUCAUAAUCUCAUUUCACCAAAAUACGGCAUCUCAAUACAUUCCAUGCAUUUCUGGUGACAAGCUCAUUCUGGUGCACGCUAAGCAAUGUGCUAACUACGUCUUAACUAGGGUGGUUUAACUGGUUUGGUUAACAUAGAUCUCUGAGUCAUUUCACGCAUUCCUUAAGCCUAAACAAAUCUCAUCCAGGUGUUUAAGACAUUGCACAAUAUUAGACCAUCUGAAGCUCCAUCUCCUUGGGGCAAUGAUGAUGAUGGUGAUGAAAGUGGCUGGUGACUGUUCUCAGUCUCAUCGCCAUAAUGGAACCCUACGUUGUGUUCCUCCACACUGGUGUGAGGGACACUACUAAGUGCGGCAGAGUUUGCACUCAGGAUAGAGAAAUAUGGACUCACGCACAGAUUCCAGCUGAGUCCCUCCGAUGUGCUAGGUACUAUGUCCAGCCCCCCAGGAUUCACCUGUAAGCAGGACAGUCUUUUGGAUGACAGAGGGAAUUCUCAUAUAUCCACAGGCAGAUGGAAUUUACAAGUGGAAAGACCUAGAAGUUCAGAGACAGGGGGACUGAACUUUUUGCUUUCAGUCAGAAUCUUUGCUUACGGUUGUGCAAAUGCUUGCAUUGGUGGGUUUCCAUGCCAUAUAACGUGCUACAUAUUUUUACGUUACCCUUGCACAUAAGCAUACUGUUGGGAGGGAAAAUGAAGAGGGUGGAGGUGGUAACAAACUCAAGCUAAGGAAAUGGAAUUUGGAUGGGUACAAAGUCCAGAGAAUUAGCUUGAGGAAAAUGAACCAGGAUUCACACAGGAGUUUUCAAACAUCUCAAUAUCAGGACCCCUUUACCCUCUUAAAACUUACUUCGUGAGGACCUUAAAGAGCUUUUGUUUGUGUGACUUAUAUGUAUUAAUAUUUACUAUAUUAGAAAUUAAAAGUAAGGAAUGGUUGUA